UACGUAGGGUGCAAGCGUUAAUCGGAAUUACUGGGCGUAAAGCGUGCGCAGGCGGUUUGCUAAGAGAGAUGUGAAAUCCCCGGGCUCAACCUGGGAAUGGCAUUGGAAACUGGCGGACUCGAGUGUGGCAGAGGGGGGGUGGAAUUCCGCGGUGUAGCAGUGAAAUGCGUAGAGAUGCGGAGGAACACCGAUGGCGAAGGCAGCCCCCUGGGCUAACACUGACGCUCAGGCACGAAAGCGUGGGGAGCAA
RNAcentral lists this ribosomal RNA (250 nucleotides) under uncultured bacterium. RNAcentral's name for it is "partial 16S ribosomal RNA". It matches the Rfam family "Bacterial small subunit ribosomal RNA", at positions 524 to 771 of the family's 1533-position model. The record is from RNAcentral.